RNAcentral lists this ribosomal RNA (975 nucleotides) under Triticum aestivum (bread wheat). RNAcentral's name for it is "partial small subunit ribosomal RNA". The record is from RNAcentral. Lineage: Eukaryota; Viridiplantae; Streptophyta; Magnoliopsida; Poales; Poaceae.
AUGGGCGGCGGCGGCGUGAGCUCCAGCACCGUGUCGCCGGACGCUGUGAGCGCCGCCGGCGAUGGAGGCACGGCCCCGGUCGUCGCAGCAGCCCAGGCGAGCCGUAGCUUGCUGGAACGGCGGUUCCCGCAGGAGGUGUGGCGGCGGGGAGAGCUGGAGCUCCGUCGAGAGGCGAGCCAUGUCCUGAUCUCCCGCACUCCGGCCAUGGAUGCGCUGGAGCUGCGCUUCAGGCGGUAUGUGCUUCUGGCAACUGCGGUCGGAGACGGCAAGCAGACAUUGACGCCGGCAGCCAUGCUGGCGACCUUGCAGCAGCAUUGCGGGGUGGUGCCGUCCGAGGUGGUCAUCGAGGUCGCGUGCCCACCACACGACCCGUGGCUGACCUUCUCGACGGAGGAGAAGUGCUCUAAGGUGCUCCUUUCGUCAAUGAAGAUCAAGUGUUGCCGGCGUUGGAUUCAGUUUUCGCGUUGGUGCAGAAUGGUUCGUGCUCAGUCAGGUGCUCUGAAGUAUAAGAGCAAGCUCGGCUUUGAAGGCCUUCCUAACCAGGUCUGGAUGAUGGCGUCCGUGAAAGAUGUUCUCAAGCAGCUGGGUGGCGAGCUGAUUGAGAUCCUGCCGCCGGCAAGCCGCCGCGAGCUUGAGGUAAUGGCGUGGCUUCGUGACCCUUCCUUUGUUGGCAAGGUGGUGACAGUGGAGAUACCUGAGCUGAAGCUGACAAACAAGCCACCCGAGUCCAUGGAUGAGUAUGAAGCAAUGCAAUUUGUAUUGGGUGACUACGGACCAUCGUCGCCGAGAAAGAAGAACAGCUUACUGUAUCCUGUCAUUUGCCACAUGAAGGAGGUUGUCGAUCGUGGUCCUCUGCUUGCUGAAGGACUGCCUGAUGAGUGGUUGUCAGGAGAAGGCGAGGACCUGACUCGCAAGCAUAUCUUCAAGACUGUGAUGGGCAAGAUCGACGGCACUGACGGUGCUGAAGGAGUUUGA